CGGACGGCGUCGGCGGUCAGUGCGACUCUGAGACUUUGCGAGAUGCGACCGUCUGCUGCCGCCAACCGCCGUUGCCGAUGACUCGCGAUAGACCUUUGUCACGACAUUUGAGUUUCGUGUCCGUUUCAUCCGCCGACAGUGGCGGACGUUUAGACGCUACACCGGUACAUCAAAGGCCAUCACCAUUUACUGUUGGUUGAGCUCGUCGUCUCCCACGGGGAGACAUAACUAUGGACCGUCCGCGCUGGGUGGCAAGAGAGGCACCUUCCCGAACGUCGCCAUGCAGGAAGUGGAGAGGGCCAAAGCUAGACAUAUGGCGAAAAAACAAAACAGCAAAGUAGAACGUCAGAAAUCAUCAGACAAACAAUUAUCCAAAGCACCAAGUAUUGAGACCAAAAAACAAGAAAAAUGACAAACAAUAUUCACAUAUUAAAGAUUUUAUUUUUUUAGCACUCUCAUUGAAAAUGAUAACAACACUGUAAUUCGUAAUCAAAUAUACUUCUUUAAGUACACUAUAAUAUUGUUAUUGUAAUUUAUAAUACACGUCAUAAUUUCAUUGUAUAUUUACAUAAUAAUGAUCGUGUUAAUUUUACCUUAAAUUUUAUCACGUUUCGUGUAUUCAAUGACCAAAAAUAUUUUGUAACGUUUAGAGUGCAGAACAACUAUUAUAAUAGUAUUGCAUUAUUAUACCUAUUUGUUGUAUAAUAAUGUUAUGUCACACAUAUGGUUUUUUUUUUUGUAAAUUUAAAGCUCAAACAUCUUUGAAUGUUUAAUAAUACUACUUAUAUACGUACUUUGUAAGCGUCUUAGACUCUUAGAAGUAUGUCACACACAAUUAUAUUUAUAUUAUACUUAUACUAUAUUUAUAGACGUAUGUAAUACGAAUGGAAAUAAAUGAAUACAACUCCA
Rhopalosiphum maidis (corn leaf aphid) is the source of this 909-nucleotide long non-coding RNA. RefSeq lists it as uncharacterized. The record is from RefSeq and is a predicted model, not a curated record. The transcript has 4 exons. NCBI's taxonomy places the organism in Eukaryota, Metazoa, Arthropoda, Insecta, Hemiptera, Aphididae.